GCCACAGCCAUAUCACCCUGCAGCCCAAGACUGGUUGCCCACUGAAGCUAAGCACGGUUGAGCCUGGUCAGUACCUGGAUGGGAGACCUCCUGGGAAAACUAGGUUGCUGCUGGAA
This 116-nucleotide ribosomal RNA is filed under the name Sinocyclocheilus anshuiensis. The record is from RNAcentral. Lineage: Eukaryota; Metazoa; Chordata; Actinopteri; Cypriniformes; Cyprinidae.